Molecule: ribosomal RNA, 564 nt
Filed under: Bacillus toyonensis
Lineage: Bacteria; Bacillati; Bacillota; Bacilli; Caryophanales; Bacillaceae
Description: bacterial SSU rRNA
Rfam family: Bacterial small subunit ribosomal RNA
Source: RNAcentral
CGAGCGAAUGUGAUUCGAGAGCUUGCUCUCAUGAAGUUAGCGGCGGACGGGUGAGUAACACGUGGGUAACCUGCCCAUAAGACUGGGAUAACUCCGGGAAACCGGGGCUAAUACCGGAUAACAUUUUGAACUGCAUGGUUCGAAAUUGAAAGGCGGCUUCGGCUGUCACUUAUGGAUGGACCCGCGUCGCAUUAGCUAGUUGGUGAGGUAACGGCUCACCAAGGCAACGAUGCGUAGCCGACCUGAGAGGGUGAUCGGCCACACUGGGACUGAGACACGGCCCAGACUCCUACGGGAGGCAGCAGUAGGGAAUCUUCCGCAAUGGACGAAAGUCUGACGGAGCAACGCCGCGUGAGUGAUGAAGGCUUUCGGGUCGUAAAACUCUGUUGUUAGGGAAGAACAAGUGCUAGUUGAAUAAGCUGGCACCUUGACGGUACCUAACCAGAAAGCCACGGCUAACUACGUGCCAACAGCCGCGGUAAUACGUAGGUGGCAAGCGUUAUCCGGAAUUAUUGGGCGUAAAGCGCGCGCAGGUGGUUUCUUAAGUCUGAUGUGAAAGCCCAC